AUUGAACGCUGGCGGCAUGCUUUACACAUGCAAGUCGAACGGUAACAGGCCUUCGGGUGCUGACGAGUGGCGAACGGGUGAGUAAUGCAUCGGAACGUGCCCAAUCGUGGGGGAUAACGUAGCGAAAGUUACGCUAAUACCGCAUAAGCCCUGAGGGGGAAAGUGGGGGACCGCAAGGCCUCACGCGAAUGGAGCGGCCGAUGUCAGAUUAGCUAGUUGGUGGGGUAAAGGCCCACCAAGGCGACGAUCUGUAGCGGGUCUGAGAGGAUGAUCCGCCACACUGGGACUGAGACACGGCCCAGACUCCUACGGGAGGCAGCAGUGGGGAAUUUUGGACAAUGGGCGCAAGCCUGAUCCAGCCAUGCCGCGUGCGGGACGAAGGCCUUCGGGUUGUAAACCGCUUCUAGCCGGAAGAAAUACGCCGUUUUAAUUACUAGACGGUGGAUGACGGUACCGGAAGAAGAAGCACCGGCUAACUACGUGCCAGCAGCCGCGGUAAGUAGU
RNAcentral lists this ribosomal RNA (504 nucleotides) under uncultured bacterium. Its description in RNAcentral is "bacterial SSU rRNA". It matches the Rfam family "Bacterial small subunit ribosomal RNA", at positions 29 to 528 of the family's 1533-position model. The record is from RNAcentral.